UAGGUAGCAAACCCGUGAAGCAUCAUACCUAAUGGUAAUGAUUGAUAAGAACCUGUGAUUACAGAUGCUUUACGUUGAAAUGUGUGCAAGCUUCACAUGCCUCUUAAUCCCAUAUCAGUGCUAGUUCAGGAUCUAGCAAGGAUCGAAUCGAAGAAAGUCAUUCUUGCACUCGCUUGAGAUCUGUUGUGGCAUUAAUGGAGAUCAUCAAUCUGUCUCCUUAGGGAGACACUGUCCUUCAACUGUCUUAGAUUUGACAAAGAUCUUGACAUCUACCACCUCUACAUUUGGAAUCUUAUAGAGCCCCCGAAUCAUGGAUCAAGCUCUCCAAUUAGCUGGCACUAGUAGCCCCAGGAGCGAGAAUGUAGACUGCAUGCAUAUUAUUUAUUGCUGUUGACUUUGACUUCUCUUUGCCAACUGGUUCUAUUAAAUUGCUGCUUGUCUACAAUCGGAGCAAAUGUACAUUGCAUGUGGUGCCAAGCAAUUGGCAUCACAAGAGUACAUUGCUAUUUGGUACUUCCUGUUUCUUGGUGGCAACACCUUUAAUUAUUUCCAA
Molecule: long non-coding RNA, 553 nt
Organism: Musa acuminata subsp. malaccensis (wild Malaysian banana)
Lineage: Eukaryota; Viridiplantae; Streptophyta; Magnoliopsida; Zingiberales; Musaceae
Source: RefSeq, a predicted model, not a curated record